This is a non-coding RNA of Podarcis lilfordi (Lilford's wall lizard), 73 nucleotides long. Lineage: Eukaryota; Metazoa; Chordata; Lepidosauria; Squamata; Lacertidae. The record is from the annotation of a GenBank genome assembly.
GCUGGGAUAGCUCAGUUGGUGGAGCAUGACGCCCUUAAUCUCAGGGCUGUGGGUUCGAGCCCCACAUUAGGCA